AUGAACAUAAGGACGUUUCUAGAUCUAACGGCAUCAUUUUCUCUGCUCUCUCUGCAGGCGAGCCCACACUCUCACGGUGCUAUUCAUCCUGACCUGCGCUCUUGUCUAUGUUACGUUGUUGGAAGAGACCCCCCAGGACACGGCGUACAACACCAAAAGAGGCAUUGUGGCCAGCAUCUUGGUGUUUCUUUGUUUCGGGGUGACACAGGCCAAAGAUGGACCAUUUACUAGACCACACCCAGCUUACUGGCGGUUCUGGCUGUGCGUGACUGUCGUCUAUGAACUCUUCCUCAUCUUCAUCUUAUUUCAGG
This is a long non-coding RNA of Nematolebias whitei (Rio pearlfish), 311 nucleotides long. RefSeq lists it as uncharacterized. The transcript has 3 exons. Lineage: Eukaryota; Metazoa; Chordata; Actinopteri; Cyprinodontiformes; Rivulidae. The record is from RefSeq and is a predicted model, not a curated record.